CCUACGGGUGGCAGCAGUGAGGAAUAUUGGUCAAUGGGCGAGAGCCUGAACCAGCCAAGUCGCGUGAAGGAUGACGGAUCUAUGGUUUGUACACUGCUUUUAUAUGGGGAUAAAGUGAGGCACGUGUUCCUUUUUGUAUGUACCAUAUGAAUAAGCAUCGGCUAACUCCGUGCCAGCAGCCGCGGUAAUACGGAGGGUGCGAGCGUUAUCCGGAUUUAUUGGGUUUAAAGGGGGCGUAGGUGGUUAAUUAAGUCAGCGGUGAAAGUUUGUGGCUCAACCAUAAAAUUGCUGUGGAAACUGGUUGACUUGAGUAUAUGUGAGGUAGGCGGAAUGCGUGGUGUAGCGGUGAAAGGCAUAGAUAUCACGAAGAACUCCGAUUGCGAAGGCAGCUUACUAAACUAUAACUGACACUGAAGCACGAAAGCGUGGGGAUCAAACAGGAUUAGAUACCCGGGUAGUC
This 460-nucleotide ribosomal RNA is filed under the name uncultured bacterium. RNAcentral's name for it is "partial 16S ribosomal RNA". It matches the Rfam family "Bacterial small subunit ribosomal RNA", at positions 338 to 795 of the family's 1533-position model. The record is from RNAcentral.